This 123-nucleotide ribosomal RNA is filed under the name Mesocricetus auratus (golden hamster). Lineage: Eukaryota; Metazoa; Chordata; Mammalia; Rodentia; Cricetidae. The record is from RNAcentral.
AGCUAUGACUAGACCAUCUGAACUGCCCACCUGAUCUUACCUGAUCUCUGAGGUUAAGCAGGAUUGGACCUAGUUAGUACAUGGAUGGAAAACUAUUCUAAGAAAGUAUCGGCAUGAUUACUC